UACGAAGGGGGCUAGCGUUGCUCGGAAUGACUGGGCGUAAAGGGCGCGUAGGCGGAUGGCUCAGUCAGAUGUGAAAUUCCCGGGCUUAACCUGGGGGCUGCAUUUGAUACGUGUUGUCUUGAGUUCGGAAGAGGGUCGUGGAAUUCCCAGUGUAGAGGUGAAAUGCGCAGAUAUCGGGAGGAACACCGGUGGCGAAGGCGGUUCUCUGGGCCUUACCUGACGCUGAGGAGCGAAAGCGUGGGGAGCGAACAGG
RNAcentral lists this ribosomal RNA (253 nucleotides) under uncultured bacterium. RNAcentral describes it as "partial 16S ribosomal RNA". It matches the Rfam family "Bacterial small subunit ribosomal RNA", at positions 524 to 776 of the family's 1533-position model. The record is from RNAcentral.